Molecule: ribosomal RNA, 520 nt
Filed under: uncultured Entrophospora
Lineage: Eukaryota; Fungi; Glomeromycota; Glomeromycetes; Entrophosporales; Entrophosporaceae
Description: SSU rRNA
Rfam family: Eukaryotic small subunit ribosomal RNA
Source: RNAcentral
AGCAGCCGCGGUAAUUCCAGCUCCAAUAGCGUAUAUUAAAGUUGUUGCAGUUAAAAAGCUCGUAGUUGAAUUUCGGGAUUGACCCAUCGGUCGUGCCUUAAGGGGCAUGAACUGGUGUAGUCAAUUUCUCACCUUCUGGAGAACCGUGAUGUCCUUAAUUGGGUGCCACGAGGAACCAGGACCUUUACUUUGAAAAAAUUAGAGUGUUUAAAGCAGGCAUUUUUGCUUGAAUACAUUAGCAUGGAAUAAUAAAAUAGGACGGCAUGAUUCUAUUUUGUUGGUUUCUAGGAUCACCGUAAUGAUUAAUAGGGAUAGUUGGGGGCAUUAGUAUUCAAUUGUCAGAGGUGAAAUUCUUGGAUUUAUUGAAGACUAACUACUGUGAAAGCAUUUGCCAAGGAUGUUUUCAUUAAUCUAAGAGCGAAAGUUAGGGGAUCGAAGACGAUCAGAUACCGUCGUAGUCUUAACCAUAAACUAUGCCGACUAGGAAUCAGACGAUGUUAAUUUUUUAAUGACUCGUUUG